RNAcentral lists this ribosomal RNA (251 nucleotides) under uncultured prokaryote. Its description in RNAcentral is "partial 16S rRNA". It matches the Rfam family "Bacterial small subunit ribosomal RNA", at positions 525 to 775 of the family's 1533-position model. The record is from RNAcentral.
ACGUAGGGGGCAAGCGUUGUCCGGAAUUAUUGGGCGUAAAGGGCGUGUAGGUGGCUCGUGAAGUCAGGAGUGAAAGCCCGGGGCUCAACCCCGGGACUGCUUUUGAAACCAGCGGGCUUGAGUACAGGAGAGGGAAGUGGAAUUCCCAGUGUAGCGGUGAAAUGCGUAGAUAUUGGGAGGAACACCAGUGGCGAAAGCGGCUUCCUGGCCUGUAACUGACACUGAGGCGCGAAAGCGUGGGGAGCAAACAG